CUUCUUUCAGUGACACUGAUACGAAAUUUUAUUGAAGCAUUUCACUGUUUCAUGUCUUCAGAUAAAUUACACAGAGAAACAGUCUUACAAGAGAUUAUUACUCUGUCCUGUGGCAUGUGUAUCUACCUUUAAGCUUUAUUUCUAUGAAAUAUAAUCUGUUAUUUGACUGCAGCCAUACUGGAGCACCGCCUUUAGUCGAACAAAUCGAUCUCAGGACUUAUUCUUUGUAAGCCUAGUACUUAUCCUAUCGGUGUCUUUUCCCGAACCGCUAAGUUACGGGGAGGUAAACACACCAACAUCUGUUGUCAAGCGAUGGUGGGGGACAAACACACAAACAUACACACACAUAAACACACACACACAUACACAUACAUGCAUGCAUACACACACACACAUACAAUGGACUACUUUUAGUUUCCGCCUACCAAAUCCACUCACAAGGCUUUGGUCGGGUCGAGGCUAUAGUGACACGCAGUGGGAUUGAACCCGGAACCAUGUGGUACCACACAGCUACGCCUGCGCCUAUGUUUAGUCAUAAUAAAGACAAUUUUACAUUAAUUUGAGGGGGUUAUUUUAUACUUUUGUAGAAUACAAGUUUAUUUUUAAACAAGAAUAUUGUUGACAAUGACUUCGAAGUUUCAUCCAGUUAAGCCAUUGUCGGACUAUAUAUAUGUAGUGAAACCACCUCUCUCACGGUUAUAUAUUUACAAAUGCGAGCGUAGCAGGGAACAACUCUUUCCCGCCUUGCUGUGUCAUCACCUGACUGACUUUUAUUUUCGCGGCAUUUGCCUCCAGUCCGUUCGCGCCAGGACGCAAACCGACCAACCGUAACCACUAAUAAGGUCACGUGAGAGAGUGUUUUUAUGAUGCUAUCUGUACCUAUAAAUAGCCUAAAUUAUCCGCGCCAGUUCGUCGCGGCUACAAAUCCUCACAGAUCUGGUCGUUGACCACACACGUAACACAGCCAGCCAGUUCCAGCGACGACAUCAACAGCAUCGUUCAACUACGUACUACCAGCAUCGUCGCCAACGUCAACAUGAUUUCUCCACGUACACAAGCAACCGCAGCUUCUCUUCUCAACCCUGUUGUGUGAAUUGUUCACCACGAAAUUAACAGCCAGAACUCAACCUGCGAAGAACAUCUGUAUCAAGAAUCCGGCCCGGCAUCGAAGCCUCAACUGCACGACAAGUGACUUAGCUCUGCCGCAACCAUAACCUCUGAUAUACAGACCUACAUAUCUACUGUGUACCUUAACAGAACUGGUAUCUUAUUAUCCUGUGUUGCAGACUCUUUCUAUGCUUUGUAUCUCUUGCAUUCACAUACAUAUAUUUGUAUACAUACUCUUCUGUUUAUAUGAUGGCCUGUCUUAUAUUGUGUUUUAUUAUGUCGCAUUCACACACACACAGACAUACAGUUUAAUGCCCCAAUAAAUCUUACUGUUAUUCAUCUUUA
This is a long non-coding RNA of Octopus bimaculoides (California two-spot octopus), 1452 nucleotides long. RefSeq lists it as uncharacterized. Lineage: Eukaryota; Metazoa; Mollusca; Cephalopoda; Octopoda; Octopodidae. The record is from RefSeq and is a predicted model, not a curated record.